Molecule: non-coding RNA, 816 nt
Organism: Betta splendens (Siamese fighting fish)
Lineage: Eukaryota; Metazoa; Chordata; Actinopteri; Anabantiformes; Osphronemidae
Source: the annotation of a RefSeq genome assembly
ACCCUCUUCUGGUUCAUCCUUGUCUUUAGAGAACCAUGAACAUUUGCAUUAGGGAGAAGUGUUUAAUUAUUCACACAAACAUAAAAUGGGGGUUGUUUCUUUGAUCAUAUUUAUUAAAAACUAUAAAUAAACAAUCAACAGAUUCAUCUUGAUUAUCAAUUUUUAAUUUGCCUGAGCUGGCACAUGUCUAGCUGCGCUGCAGGGGGAGCUCCAGCACAAUCAGAAUCCUACAACAGUGACACUCCCAUCUGUCCCUUCACGUCUCUGUGGUACCAUCAGACAAACUGGCAGCGACUCUGGUCUCUGAGACCACUUUACUGAAAACACAGCAAUGAUCACAGCUGGUCUGGUUCAACUCUCUGCAGCUCUGCUCUGUUUUGCAGGUCUAACUGACAGCAGUGAUGUCACCCAGACCCCUCAGCUGUGUGAAAAGGAGGGUCAGUCUGCCACAAUGAACUGCAGUCACACUAAGGGCAGCACAUACAGGGAGAUGUACUGGUUCAGACAAAAGCCAGGGGAGGGAAUGAAGCAAAUCGUUUACACCACUGCAUACAACCCUCCUGAAUAUCAAGGUGGCUUCAGCAAAGAAAAAUUUCCAGCAACGAAGGAAGACACCGAAACAGGAUCUUUGACAGUGCACAAGCUGCUACCUGAGGACAGUGGAGUAUAUUUUUGUGCUUAAAGGACCAUUUAUUAGCAUACCAGAAGUUACCUGGUAACCAACCAGAAGCUGGCUCUUGAUCUGUCUCCUCCCCUCUUUGUUGCUCCCACAUCUCGAGUCACUAAGAGAAGAGAAGAUACUGGGACCAUGACUAG